UCCCUUAACACCGGCCUCACACAGAUUAGAGAAAACUCUUCAUUGUACCAUCACCCUCAACGCUUGAAUGGGUUUCAAUUCCCUCCCUGCCCGAUUGAAAUUCCACUCAAUUUUCGCAUUGAAUGCAAUUGAAGAUUGAAUCUCAUUUAACCCUUACAAGAAACUGAAGAAGUUAAGACGUUCCUUUUAUUUACUCAUCGUCACCACCGUCACCGUUUACUUCAUCAACGGCAACAGUUACGAUCACCAAAUCUGUUGUUCCCCAAAUUCUCAUACCCAAAGACAAAAUCUGGCAUGAAAGGUGUCCUUGCAAAUGGUCAGAAUGUUGUGAACAAGCACAUUAUCAACGGUGGUGAAAAGAUAUAGUCAGAACAUGAAUCCAAUGUCUUUAAAUCGGCUAUCGAUUGUGCUCAGUGACUAUGGUUUCUUCACACGUACCCUGGAGGAUGCAGAGUUCAUCAUGAUUAAAGAUGACGAAUAUCUCCUAAUUAUGAACUUUCAAGCGAAGCCGGCCGACAAGGAUAAGCAUAAUGUCUAAGAAAGCAGCAGCUGUGAAAUACACAAUUUGACUUGGACCUAAUCUAAAAGGAUGGGAGGCUUCAAUCAUAUAUAAAAUCCGAGUCGAUCCCAGAAACCAAUGAUGAACCGGUGAAGGUGGUGGUUACCAACAACUUAAAGACAUGGUUUUGGACUCUAAAAAGAAUGAGAUCUAUGCAUCAUGGUGUGGACACUGCAAAUAACUAGCCGCAAUCUUAGAAGAAGUGGCUUUCUAAUUCGAGUAUGAUCCAGGUGUUAAUCAUCGCAAAACUCAAUAAAGACAUGUGGUGAGAGAGUAUGGGCAAUUGGGACACGAACUAAGCAUAUAUAUCGAGUAUGGUCGACGGAUCAAGAUUGGCCUGGACUUGCAAUGUCACGAGCUUUCGGGGAUUUUUGUUUGAAAGACUAUGGACUUAUAUCCGUUCUGAAUGUAUAUUAUCAUAAACUUACAGACCAACAUGAAUUUAUGGUCUUAGCAACUAAUGGAGUGUGGGAUGUGCUUAAAAAUGAUGAGGUGCUAAAGAUUAAUGGGUCAAUGAACAACAGAUCAAUGGCAGCAAGAUCUGUAGUUGAUCAUGCAGUGAAAGCUUAAUUGGAGACACAUGUACCCAGCUUCAAAAAUCGAUGAUUGCACGAUUCUAUUAUCUUUCAAGAAGCGACUGUGUUUAGCCAACUCGGCCCGGAAGAGA
Helianthus annuus (common sunflower) is the source of this 1226-nucleotide long non-coding RNA. RefSeq lists it as uncharacterized. Lineage: Eukaryota; Viridiplantae; Streptophyta; Magnoliopsida; Asterales; Asteraceae. The transcript has 7 exons. The record is from RefSeq and is a predicted model, not a curated record.